UUGAACUUCUCAGGAACAGGCUAG
RNAcentral lists this microRNA (24 nucleotides) under Oikopleura dioica. RNAcentral's name for it is "odi-miR-1482". Lineage: Eukaryota; Metazoa; Chordata; Appendicularia; Copelata; Oikopleuridae. The record is from miRBase by way of RNAcentral.